This 1047-nucleotide ribosomal RNA is filed under the name Triticum aestivum (bread wheat). RNAcentral describes it as "partial small subunit ribosomal RNA". The record is from RNAcentral. Lineage: Eukaryota; Viridiplantae; Streptophyta; Magnoliopsida; Poales; Poaceae.
AUGGAAGGAGCCACUCCCACUUCCGCUCCCUCGAGCACAAGGAUUGCUGUGGUCACCGGCGGGAGCAAAGGGAUCGGGCUGGAGGCGUGCAAGCAGCUGGCAGGCGGCGGCGCCAUCACCGUUGUUCUGACGGCCAGGAACGAGACGAGGGGAACAGCGGCGGUCGAGCAGAUCAAGCGGCUGGGGCACGCAGAUGUCAUCUUUCAUCAGCUGGACAUCACGGAUGCUUCCAGCAUCGCUCGACUCGCAGAUUUCCUCAAGACCCGUUUCGGGAAGCUUGACAUCCUGGUGAAUAACGCCGCGACGGAUGGGAUUGAGCAUGUCAUUGAUCCAGUUUAUGGCUUAACGCCCGGCGAUGAAACGUUCAAUGGCAUGGACGCGGGCCAGAGGAUCAAUUGGAUGUGGACCAGCUGCCGCCAGACGUACGAGACCGCGAAACAGGGCCUGCAGACAAACUACUACGGCACGAAGCGGGUGACGGAGGCUCUCCUGCCCCUGCUCCGAUCCUCGUCCGACGGAAGGAUCGUCAACGUCUCCUCCAACUUCGGAUUGCUCAGCGUAAGCAUCAUGCGUCGAUCACCACGCACAACAAAUAAGUUCCUCCAACAGCAACAAAAAAGAGGUCAUGAUUCGAUGCCAACCUUCUUCCUUCCUUUUCGGCCGCAGUUUUUCAGGAACGAGGAGCUGAAGCAGGAGCUGAACGACGUCGACAGCCUGACCGAGGAGAGGCUGGACGAGCUGCUGGCCAUGUUCCUCAAGGACUUCGAGGCCGGCGGCGCGGAGGCGCGCGGGUGGCCGGCCGAGUUCUCGGCGUACAAGGUGGCCAAGGCCGCCAUGAACGCCUACUCGAGAAUCCUGGCCAAGAGGCACCCGGAGCUGCGCGUCAACUGCGCGCACCCCGGCUACGUGAAGACGGAUAUCACCAGGAACUCCGGGAUCCUGACGCCGGAGGAGGGCGCGCGCAACAUCACCAGCGUUGCGCUGCUGCCGGAAGGCGGGCCCACCGGCAAGUACUUCUCCGAAGGCGAGGAGGCAUCCUUCGUGUGA